CUCCCAGACAGGCUGGGUUCUAAAUCAGGACCACAGCUCCAGCCUGUCCUGCUCUGGAUCCGCCCCGAUUCCCGAGACGCGUUCCAGGAACAGAAACGCUAAGUAACUGUCCUAAGCCACACAGCCAGCCAGCUCUGACCCCAGGAGGUCGCCCCACUCCGGGCUGCUGUCCGCGGGCGGGCGGCGCUGUCCUCCCCGGGCUCCAAUUUACAUAGGGUUUUUAAAGGCGGAAACUGAAUCCAGGCACGUUGCUGGACAGCUGGACCGGGGGCCUUCGCAGAGUGAGCAGUUUGAAGCAGUUUGAAGCAAGCAGGAGACUAAGACAAGUGUUUAGCCCGAGGGGCGUCCACAUGAACUCCCAGUUUUAACAGAAACUAAGUUAGCUGGGGCAUCCUGAUCUUUGGUUCCUAGAACAGAGCUGGGUAAACUCCUACAGGAUUCCCCAUCAAGGAGAUCAAAUUCUAGUUAAACCGGAAAUGGCCGUGGCGAGAACACGAGACGAGGAACCUCUGCACCGUCCUGUCCUGUCCUGUUUCGUCACCGUGUGGCCCAGGCUGGACUCCUGCCGCAGCCUCCCAGUGUUGGCGUUACCGAUAACAUUACUGUAUGAAUCUAGUGAGUUGACACCUGCCAGGAGUCACGAGGCAGACCCUUAGUAACACUGCGAUGAGACUGGGUGACUCCCAAACCGCCCCCACACGUCUCCAGACUCAGUUUCCCCAUCUGGUGUUUUCCAUGUCUCGCCCUGCCAUUUGCUCUCCCUUCUCCUGGUGCUGCUGGCCUGGACAAGAUCCUUGAAUAAAAGCCUUCGCCCUCUU
This is a long non-coding RNA of Mesocricetus auratus (golden hamster), 818 nucleotides long. RefSeq lists it as uncharacterized. The transcript has 2 exons. NCBI's taxonomy places the organism in Eukaryota, Metazoa, Chordata, Mammalia, Rodentia, Cricetidae. The record is from RefSeq and is a predicted model, not a curated record.